UUUAGGUGGGCUGGGCUGUUAU
This 22-nucleotide non-coding RNA is filed under the name Arabidopsis thaliana (thale cress). Lineage: Eukaryota; Viridiplantae; Streptophyta; Magnoliopsida; Brassicales; Brassicaceae. The record is from RNAcentral.